GCCUGGGUGGCUCAGUCAGUUGAGUGUCUGACUUCAGCUUGGGUCAUGGUCUCAGGGUUUGUGAGUUCAAGCCCCACAUCAGGUA
RNAcentral lists this transfer RNA (85 nucleotides) under Felis catus (domestic cat). It matches the Rfam family "tRNA". From Rfam's summary of the family: Transfer RNA (tRNA) molecules are approximately 80 nucleotides in length. Lineage: Eukaryota; Metazoa; Chordata; Mammalia; Carnivora; Felidae. The record is from Rfam by way of RNAcentral.